RNAcentral lists this ribosomal RNA (495 nucleotides) under uncultured bacterium. RNAcentral's name for it is "partial 16S ribosomal RNA". It matches the Rfam family "Bacterial small subunit ribosomal RNA", at positions 29 to 507 of the family's 1533-position model. The record is from RNAcentral.
AUGAACGCUGGCGGCGUGCCUAAUACAUGCAAGUCGAGCGAACAGACGAGGAGCUUGCUCCUCUGACGUUAGCGGCGGACGGGUGAGUAACACGUGGAUAACCUACCUAUAAGACUGGGAUAACUUCGGGAAACCGGAGCUAAUACCGGAUAAUAUAUUGAACCGCAUGGUUCAAUAGUGAAAGACGGUUUUGCUGUCACUUAUAGAUGGAUCCGCGCCGCAUUAGCUAGUUGGUAAGGUAACGGCUUACCAAGGCAACGAUGCGUAGCCGACCUGAGAGGGUGAUCGGCCACACUGGAACUGAGACACGGUCCAGACUCCUACGGGAGGCAGCAGUAGGGAAUCUUCCGCAAUGGGCGAAAGCUUGACGGAGCAACGCCGCGUGAGUGAUGAAGGUCUUCGGAUCGUAAAACUCUGUAUUAGGGAAGAACAAAUGUGUAAGUAACUAUGCACGUCUUGACGGUACCUAAUCAGAAAGCCACGGCUAACUACGUG